AGUGAACGCUGGCGGUAGGCCUAACACAUGCAAGUCGAACGGCAGCACAGGAGAGCUUGCUCUCUGGGUGGCGAGUGGCGGACGGGUGAGGAAUACAUCGGAAUCUGCCCAGUCGUGGGGGAUAACGUAGGGAAACUUACGCUAAUACCGCAUACGACCUUCGGGUGAAAGAGGGGGAUCGCAAGACCUCUCGCGAUUGGAUGAGCCGAUGUCGGAUUAGCUAGUUGGCGGGGUAAUGGCCCACCAAGGCGACGAUCCGUAGCUGGUCUGAGAGGAUGAUCAGCCACACUGGAACUGAGACACGGUCCAGACUCCUACGGGAGGCAGCAGUGGGGAAUAUUGGACAAUGGGCGCAAGCCUGAUCCAGCCAUACCGCGUGGGUGAAGAAGGCCUUCGGGUUGUAAAGCCCUUUUGUUGGGAAAGAGAUCUUUCAGGCUAAUACCCUGGGAGGAUGACGGUACCCAAAGAAUAAGCACCGGCUAACUUCGUG
Molecule: ribosomal RNA, 490 nt
Filed under: uncultured bacterium
Lineage: Bacteria
Description: partial 16S ribosomal RNA
Rfam family: Bacterial small subunit ribosomal RNA
Source: RNAcentral